ACGAACGCUGGCGGCAUGCCUAAGACAUGCAAGUCGAACGGUAGAGGGGCAACCCUUGAGAGUGGCGAACGGGUGAGUAAUGCAUCGGAACGUGCCCAGUCGUGGGGGAUAACGCAGCGAAAGCUGUGCUAAUACCGCAUGUGAUCUGUGGAUGAAAGCAGGGGACCGCAAGGCCUUGUGCGAUUGGAGCGGCCGAUGUCAGAUUAGCUAGUUGGUAGGGUAAAGACC
This 228-nucleotide ribosomal RNA is filed under the name uncultured bacterium. RNAcentral describes it as "partial 16S ribosomal RNA". It matches the Rfam family "Bacterial small subunit ribosomal RNA", at positions 29 to 265 of the family's 1533-position model. The record is from RNAcentral.